UACGGAGGGAGCUAGCGUUAUUCGGAAUUACUGGGCGUAAAGCGCACGUAGGCGGCUUUGUAAGUUAGAGGUGAAAGCCUGGAGCUCAACUCCAGAACUGCCUUUAAGACUGCAUCGCUUGAAUCCAGGAGAGGUGAGUGGAAUUCCGAGUGUAGAGGUGAAAUUCGUAGAUAUUCGGAAGAAACACCAGUGGCGAAGGCGGCUCACUGGACUGGUAUUGACGCUGAGGUGGCGAAAAGCGUGGGGAGCAAACAGG
This 256-nucleotide ribosomal RNA is filed under the name uncultured bacterium. Its description in RNAcentral is "partial 16S ribosomal RNA". It matches the Rfam family "Bacterial small subunit ribosomal RNA", at positions 524 to 776 of the family's 1533-position model. The record is from RNAcentral.